CCUACGGGUGGCAGCAGUGAGGAAUAUUGGUCAAUGGACGAGAGUCUGAACCAGCCAAGUAGCGUGAAGGAUGACUGCCCUAUGGGUUGUAAACCUCUUUUAUAUGGGAAUAAAACGUUCCACGUGUGGGAUUUUGUAUGUACCAUAUGAAUAAGGAUCGGCUAACUCCGUGCCAGCAGCCGCGGUAAUACGGAGGAUCCGAGCGUUAGCCGGAUUUAUUGGGUUUAAAGGGAGCGUAGGUGGAUUUUUAAGUCAGUUGUGAAAGUUUGCGGCUCAACCGUAAAAUUGCAGUUGAAACUGGCAGUCUUGAGUACAGUAGAGGUAGGCGGAAUGCGUGGUGUAGCGGUGAAAUGCUUAGAUAUCACGAAGAACUCCGAUUGCGAAGGCAGUUCACUGGACUGCAACUGACACUGAGGCUCGAAAGUGUGGGUAUCAAACAGGAUUAGAUACCCUUGUAGUC
Molecule: ribosomal RNA, 460 nt
Filed under: uncultured bacterium
Lineage: Bacteria
Description: partial 16S ribosomal RNA
Rfam family: Bacterial small subunit ribosomal RNA
Source: RNAcentral